This 377-nucleotide ribosomal RNA is filed under the name uncultured bacterium. Its description in RNAcentral is "bacterial SSU rRNA". It matches the Rfam family "Bacterial small subunit ribosomal RNA", at positions 521 to 896 of the family's 1533-position model. The record is from RNAcentral.
UAAUACAGAGGCCACAAGCGUUAGUCGGAAUCACUGGGCUUAAAGGGUGCGUAGGCGGAUCGGUAAGUGUUCUGUGAAAGCCCUCGGCUCAACCGAGGAACAGCAGGGCAUACUGCCAAUCUAGAGGCAAGUAGGGGCGGGCAGAACAGUAGGUGGAGCGGUGAAAUGCGUAGAUAUCUACUGGAAUGCCGAUGGUGAAGACGGCCCGCUGGGCUUGUCCUGACGCUGAGGCACGAAAGCGUGGGGAGCAAACAGGAUUAGAUACCCUGGUAGUCCACGCCGUAAACGAUGCACACUAGACCGGUGCGGUUUUGACGCCGUAUCGGUCGUAGUAAAAACGUUAAGUGUGCCGCCUGGGGAGUACGGUCGCAAGGCUA